Molecule: ribosomal RNA, 254 nt
Filed under: uncultured bacterium
Lineage: Bacteria
Description: partial 16S ribosomal RNA
Rfam family: Bacterial small subunit ribosomal RNA
Source: RNAcentral
UACGUAGGGGGCGAGCGUUGUCCGGAUUUAUUGGGCGUAAAGAGCUCGUAGGCGGUUUGGUAAGUCGGAUGUGAAAUCUCCAGGCUCAACCUGGAGGGGUCAUUCGAGACUGCUAUGACUAGAGUUCGGUAGAGGAGUGUGGAAUUCCCGGUGGAGCGGUGAAAUGCGCAGAUAUCAGGAGGAACACCCGUAGCGAAGGCGGCACUCUGGGCCGAUACUGACGCUGAGGAGCGAAAGCGUGGGGAGCGAACAGG